Herpailurus yagouaroundi (jaguarundi) is the source of this 1050-nucleotide long non-coding RNA. RefSeq lists it as uncharacterized. The transcript has 2 exons. The record is from RefSeq and is a predicted model, not a curated record. NCBI's taxonomy places the organism in Eukaryota, Metazoa, Chordata, Mammalia, Carnivora, Felidae.
AAAAAGUUAAAAACAAAACUACUCUCCGAUCCAGCAACUGCACUACACGGUCUUGCUGUGUCUACAUCUAAGCUGUUACGUUGGAUUUCAGGGUGGACACCUCCCACGCCUAGCACCCAUCCCCAGGGGUGGGCACCUGUAUCGCACCUGCCAUGGCGAUUGCCCUCGUACGUGCCCCCUUAUGGACCUGAGAAGGAUUUGUUGAAUCACAGGGGUUACAGAUAUUCGUCGUGAAUAAGUAGUGUCUAUUGCUCUCCAGACUGCUGUCUACCCUAGUCUAAGAGCUGUGUGUAGCAUUUCCUACAGGCCCACAACCACAGCCACACCUGGCAUGGAAAUGAGAAUAUUGAUACGGACACCAGAGUGAAAAGAUAAGAAAAAGAGGCCCUGCCCUUGGGCAGCCUGAGGCCCUCCAGCCUCCCCGAGACAGAAUACCCAUUCACAUCACAAGGCAUUUCUCUGUGUCACAACACAGAUGAGGAAUGCUAGGGUAGGAUGCCCUCCCCACUGCUACUAUCUUCUGAAAAAAUGACUCAAGUCUCAGGAUUGUGUGGAAUGAGGGAGAGUCACUGUUAAAUUUCUCAGGAUGUCACUUUGGUAAUCUCUGUUCCACCAGGAACAGUCACGAUUGCUGACCAUUCUGCCACCAUCCUGGGAGCUAUAUCCAUCUAAGGAAGAAGCAUAUGCGGACAGAACUGGUCAAGGCCUCACGGGCAAGGUUCUGAGGAACAAGGGGAAUCCAGGCCUGCUUGACUGCAAACCACAAUCUCUUCCUAUGCCUUUGUGGGACAUACUUCACAAGAAGGGGCAGAAAUACAGGCUGCUCAAGAAGUUAACUUUGCUCCUUGGGGAACGUGGAAGUGUUCCCUGCAGAGUCACGACCGGGCUCCCCCACGAAUGCUGCAGAUUCCAAGAGCACAGGUCCCUUUCUUUUGCUUUGUCACCUUGGGGUUUUAGGGAUUUCAGUAUAGCAGUUGAGAUACAAACCCAUAAACUUUAUUUAGAAAAGCACGAUGAUCUGAGAACCAUAGAGUUUGCUUUGUUAGGUUG